GCUGGGUUAGCUCAGUUGGUUAGAACAUGGUGCUAAUAACACCAAGUUCACAGGUUCAAUCCCUGCUCACUGCA
This 74-nucleotide transfer RNA is filed under the name Pelecanus crispus (Dalmatian pelican). It matches the Rfam family "tRNA". Rfam says of the family: Transfer RNA (tRNA) molecules are approximately 80 nucleotides in length. Their secondary structure includes four short double-helical elements and three loops (D, anti-codon, and T loops). The record is from Rfam by way of RNAcentral. Lineage: Eukaryota; Metazoa; Chordata; Aves; Pelecaniformes; Pelecanidae.